Molecule: long non-coding RNA, 1184 nt
Filed under: Homo sapiens (human)
Lineage: Eukaryota; Metazoa; Chordata; Mammalia; Primates; Hominidae
Description: HSALNT0211275
Source: RNAcentral
AUAAAAAGUAUUGUUUUUCAGAUGAUGGGUGGAUCAUGCUAUAAAAUGGUAACAAAGUUUUGGAAAUAAUAGCUUUAGAUUAUUCCAAAAAGAAAAAAAAGAAAGCCUUUCUUGAGUAUAAAUUGUUUUUAUGAGUUCAAGGUUACAUUGGCCUCAUCUUAAUAAUUAGCGAUGAUUCAGAUAUUUUGGAAUAGCUUUAUAUUUUUAUUUAUUUUUCUUUUUGAGACAGAGUGCCACUAAUAUUGCCCAGGCUGGUCUCUUAACUACUGGCCUCAAGCGGUCUUCCCACCUCAGCCUCCUGAGAAGCUGGGAUUACAGGUGCACACUACCAAGCGCGGCUUAGAAUAGCUUUUUAGAAAACCUAAACUUUUUAUGUUCUGCAACUCUCCUCAUAUUGAAACGUUCAUGUCCAACUGUUUUUCACCUUUUCUAAUGAAAGUAUUCUCCAAAGAACAAAUUGGAAUGCUUCCAAUUAUAGUUGUUCCCCCUUAUCCUAGGGGGACACAUUGCAAGACUCCCCAAUGAAUCCCUGAAACUGAAGUCUGUAUACACUGCCGAAGCCUAAGUAUACCAUGUUUUUUAGAUCUAAUAACCAAGAUGGGCUGAUAGCGUAUACAGCAUGGAUACACUGGACAAAGGGAUGAUUCACGUCCUAGGCAGGAGGGGGCAAACUUUCAUUUUGCUACUCAGAACAUGCUCUUGCCCCAUUUAAAACUUAGGAAUUGGCCAGUGCUGGGAUUACAGGCGUGAGCCACCGCGCCCGGCCAUGUUUUUUGAUAUUCUGAAUAAAAAGGAUAUAGCAGUUGGGAUAGGCUUGGGUUCUUGUCCUUUAUGUUCUUGUCCUUUCCUCAUGAUAAUCAAAUCAUAAUUAGAAAUAAGAUGCUAAGAAUACAAAGGUGGCUCUAUGUUAAUACUGUAUUGAUAGGUCAAAGGAGAAAAAGCAUGAGAUCAAUUCAUUAGAUACUGAAAAGUCUUUUGAGGGAAUUUAAUGUCUUCUUGCUUUCUUUAUUAACAGAAUAGGAAUAAAUAAUAGCAUAGGCAUAAAUUAAAAAUAAUGUAAUUUUUUAAAAUCUCAAACUAAAAAUGGGAAUCAUACUUAAACAUUAGCAUUCCCAGGAGAGUUGGAGCAAGACCUCUGUGCCCACUAUCACUCAACAUUUCAUUAUUUAAGUCCUAGCAAGUGC